This 1007-nucleotide long non-coding RNA is filed under the name Populus trichocarpa (black cottonwood). RNAcentral's name for it is "long non-coding RNA (PTRI_LNC000308)". Lineage: Eukaryota; Viridiplantae; Streptophyta; Magnoliopsida; Malpighiales; Salicaceae. The record is from RNAcentral.
CUCCGGGACCAUUGAUGAGGUAUUAUUCAAGAUUGUUUUUUAAAAAAUAGAAGUCAAUAUAGGCUACACGUCUUUCAGGAUGAGAACCUAAUUCCUACCUUUGAAUUUAUCUGUAUGCGAGGGUAAAGUCAAACUAAUGACCGCUGGGUUGGUGGCCAAAACUGGACUAAAAAGGACCGAUGCACUUUAAAAAUCAAACUCGAUGCCCACCAUCCACUCUUUACAAAUUUGUUCAAGAAUACCUUCAUGAGGGGACCCUCUUGCCAACGAUCACAGGUUAACAGUAACACGAUGCUUGACUGUAACAGAGUCCACUUCAAGAACUACCACCCUUCUCUUUUCCACGCUAGUUCAAGGCCAAGCUUGCAAAAGCCCUUUCUCGAUACACAUUCUUUUACUUGCGGUUAGCAGUUUUUAUUUACGAGGAGAGUGCGGGCUGCAUGUACAGAAAGUCAGAACGAAAAGGAAAUAAACUCGUCCUUAAGGCCAUUAACUGAAUGGGAACCGCAUCUAGUGGUCUUCGUAAGGGAGCAAGGGACCCCGUGCUUCUUAAUUUUGAAUGUUGAAGCAAACUCCUUAAACCAUGAACAUUCUCAGCACAGCGUGAUAAGUACUUGGUUAAAGAACAAUAUGGAUUAAGUGCGUAAAAAAUCCACUUAGACAGAAAUUCAAGAAUGGAGUUUCUCGGCCAUUCACCAUUCUUUCAGGUACAAAAUAUAAGCAAGGUCGGUAAAAUCUCUUUUAUUACACAUCACUUGUUUUUGCAAGUGACCAAAUCAAUGGUCAACAUUUGAUAUAUAUAUAAUAUCGGCAGAGAAUGCAGCCCCUCACUUGAUCCGACGGCAGAGAGUGAUACCAUCACCAACAGGAAGCAUGCAAAUUUCAAUCCUGGGGUCAGCUGCAAGUGCCUUAUUGAGCUCCAGAACAAAGUCCCUAUAGUACCUCACAUACUUCCUCAUCGGCGCAUCGGCUGGUGCCACCACAGAUCCAUUCCACAGGGUGUUGUC